This 441-nucleotide ribosomal RNA is filed under the name uncultured bacterium. RNAcentral describes it as "partial 16S ribosomal RNA". It matches the Rfam family "Bacterial small subunit ribosomal RNA", at positions 339 to 795 of the family's 1533-position model. The record is from RNAcentral.
CUACGGGUUGCUCCAGUAGGGAAUAUUGGACAAUGGGCGAAAGCCUGAUCCAGCAACGCCGCGUGCACGAUGACGGCCUUCGGGUUGUAAGGUGCUUUUAGAGGAGAUGAGAAAGGACAGUAUCCUCUGAAUAAGCCUCGGCGAACUACGUGCCAGCAGGCCGCGGUAAAACGUAGGAGGCAAGCGUUAUCCGGAUUUAUUGGGCGUAAAGCGCGUGCAGGCGGUUUGACAAGUUGGAUGUGAAAGCUCCCGGCUUAACUGGGAGAGGUCGUUCAAAACUGUCAGACUAGAGAAUGGGAGAGGGAGGUGGAAUUCCGGGUGUAGUGGUGAAAUGCGUAGAUAUCCGGAGGAACACCAGUGGCGAAAGCGGCCUCCUAGACCAUUUCUGACGCUAAGACGCGAAAGCUAGGGUAGCAAACGGGAUUAGAUACCCCAGUAGUC